AACCCUGGCCCUGUCUGAGGUUGAAAAAAAGCUCCCUUGAUGUCUUGAAUAUGCUUACAGGAUACUUUAGUGAAAUCCAAAUAUUUCAGCUUCUUGUAUGUGCCAGGCCCUUCAGUGCUGAAAAUAAAAUGGUGUGCAAAAUCUGACCUGGAUUCCAGAUCUCAUGGAGCUUAGAAUACACUGAAGGAGACAGUUAUUAAUCAAAUGAUCACUUAAUUACAUGUAUGUUUGUAGCAGAGAAGGCCAGGAGAGGAAAAAACGGAGAUUUGACCUAGUCAGAGAGGUAAGAAACAGCUUUCUU
This is a non-coding RNA of Ceratotherium simum simum (southern white rhinoceros), 301 nucleotides long. Lineage: Eukaryota; Metazoa; Chordata; Mammalia; Perissodactyla; Rhinocerotidae. The record is from RefSeq and is a predicted model, not a curated record.